RNAcentral lists this ribosomal RNA (795 nucleotides) under uncultured archaeon. Its description in RNAcentral is "bacterial SSU rRNA". It matches the Rfam family "Archaeal small subunit ribosomal RNA", at positions 85 to 879 of the family's 1478-position model. The record is from RNAcentral.
ACGGCUCAGUAACACGUGGACAACCUACCCUGAGGUCGGGGAUAAACCCGGGAAACUGGGUAUAAUACCCGAUAGAUCUAGAUCGCUGGAAUGCUUUUAGGUCUAAAGUUCCGACGCCUCAGGAUGGGUCUGCGGCCUAUCAGGGUAGUAGUGGGUGUAAAGUACCUACUAGCCCACGACGGGUACGGGUUGUGAGAGCAAGAGCCCGGAGAUGGAUUCUGAGACACGAAUCCAGGCCCUACGGGGUGCAGCAGGCGCGAAACCUUUACAAUGCUGGCAACAGCGAUAAGGGGACCUCGAGUGCUACGAUACAAUCGUGGCUGUCUAGUUGCCUAAAAAGCAAUUGAUAGCAAGGGCCGGGCAAGACCGGUGCCAGCCGCCGCGGUAACACCGGCGGCUCGAGUGGUAACCGCUAUUAUUGGGUCUAAAGGGUCUGUAGCCGGCUUAGUUAGUCUCUUGAGAAAUCUGGCCGCUCAACGGUCAGGCGUUCAGGGGAUACUGCUAAAGCUCGAGACCGGGAGAGGUGAGAGGUACUUCAGGGGUAGGGGUGAAAUCUUGUAAUCCUUGAAGGACCACCAGUGGCGAAGGCGUCUCACCAGAACGGAUCUGACGGCAAGGGACGAAGGCUAGGGACACGAACCGGAUUAGAUACCCGGGUAGUCCUAGCCGUAAACGAUACUCGCUAGGUGUCGGCCGCGGUGCGACCGUGGUCGGUGCCGUAGGGAAGCCGUGAAGCGAGCCACCUGGGAAGUACGGCCGCAAGGCUGAAACUUAAAGGAAUUGGCGGGGGAGCAC